GACCAGCGGAGGGAUCAUUAUAGAGUUUUCUAAACUCCCAACCCAUGUGAACUUACCUUUUGUUGCCUCGGCAGAAGUUAUAGGUCUUCUUAUAGCUGCUGCCGGUGGACCAUUAAACUCUUGUUAUUUUAUGUAAUCUGAGCGUCUUAUUUUAAUAAGUCAAAACUUUCAACAACGGAUCUCUUGGUUCUGGCAUCGAUGAAGAACGCAGCGAAAUGCGAUAAGUAAUGUGAAUUGCAGAAUUCAGUGAAUCAUCGAAUCUUUGAACGCACAUUGCGCCCAUUAGUAUUCUAGUGGGCAUGCCUGUUCGAGCGUCAUUUCAACCCUUAAGCCUAGCUUAGUGUUGGGAAUCUACUUCUCUUAGGAGUUGUAGUUCCUGAAAUACAACGGCGGAUUUGUAGUAUCCUCUGAGCGUAGUAAUUUUUUUCUCGCUUUUGUUAGGUGCUAUAACUCCCAGCCGCUAAACCCCCAAUUUUUUGUGGUUGACCUCGGAUCAGGUAGGAAUACCCGCUGAACUUAAGCAUAUCAAUAAGCGGAGGAAAAGAAACCAACAGGGAUUGCCUUAGUAACGGCGAGUGAAGCGGCAACAGCUCAAAUUUGAAAUCUGGCCCUUGGGUCCGAAUUGUAAUUUGUAGAGGAUGAUUUUGGUGCGGUAUCUUCCGAGUUCCUUGGAACAGGACGCCUUAGAGGGUGAGAGCCCCGUACGGUUGAAUGCCUAGCCUCUGUAAAUCUCCUUCGACGAGUCGAGUAGUUUGGGAAUGCUGCUCUAAAUGGGAGGUAAAUUUCUUCUAAAGCUAAAUAUUGGCCAGAGACCGAUAGCGCACAAGUAGAGUGAUCGAAAGAUGAAAAGCACUUUGAAAAGAGGGUUAAAUAGCACGUGAAAUUGUUGAAAGGGAAGGAUUUGUGACCAGACUUUUUCUGGGCGGAUCAUCCGGGGUUCUCUCCGGUGCACUUCGCCCAGUAAAGGCCAGCAUCGGUUUUCGGCGUGGGAUAAAAGCAGUAGGAAUGUGGCUCUCUACGGGGAGUGUUAUAGCCUAUUGUAUAAUACCGCGCUGGGGACCGAGGUUCGCGCUUCUGC
RNAcentral lists this ribosomal RNA (1078 nucleotides) under fungal endophyte. RNAcentral describes it as "eukaryotic LSU rRNA". The stretch from base 484 to 1078 matches the Rfam family "Eukaryotic large subunit ribosomal RNA", at positions 1 to 606 of the family's 3401-position model. Lineage: Eukaryota; Fungi. The record is from RNAcentral.